This 1401-nucleotide ribosomal RNA is filed under the name uncultured bacterium. RNAcentral's name for it is "bacterial SSU rRNA". It matches the Rfam family "Bacterial small subunit ribosomal RNA". The record is from RNAcentral.
AGAGUUUUUUCCUGGCUCAGGACGAACGCUGGCGGCGUGCCUAACACAUGCAAGUCGAACGAGAAUUCGGGAAUUGAUUUCUUCGGAAUGAUAUUCCUGAAGGAAAGUGGCGGACGGGCGAGUAACGCGUGAGUAACCUGCCCAUAAGAGGGGGAUAAUCCUUGGAAACGAGGACUAAUACCGCAUAUUGCAGUUUUACCGCAUGGUUUAAUUGUGAAAGCUUUAGCGCUUAUGGAUGGACUCGCGUCAGAUUAGGUAGUUGGUGAGGUAACGGCUCACCAAGCCGACGAUCUGUAGCCGAACUGAGAGGUUGAUCGGCCGCAUUGGGACUGAGACACGGCCCAGACUCCUACGGGAGGCAGCAGUGGGGAAUAUUGCGCAAUGGGGGGAACCCUGACGCAGCAACGCCGCGUGCAGGAAGAAGGUCUUCGGAUUGUAAACUGUUGUCGCAAGGGAAGAAGACAGUGACGGUACCUUGUGAGAAAGUCACGGCUAACUACGUGCCAGCAGCCGCGGUAAUACGUAGGUGACAAGCGUUGUCCGGAUUUACUGGGUGUAAAGGGCGCGUAGGCGGGCUGUCAAGUCAGCCGUGAAAUGCCGGGGCUUAACCCCGGAGCUGCGGUUGAAACUGACAGUCUUGAGUAUCGGAGAGGAAAGCGGAAUUCCCAGUGUAGCGGUGAAAUGCGUAGAUAUUGGGAGGAACACCAGUGGCGAAGGCGGCUUUCUGGACGACAACUGACGCUCAGGCGCGAAAGUGUGGGGAGCAAACAGAAUGAGAUUCCCUGGGUAGUCCCCCCCGGUAAAAGAUAAAUACUAGGUGGGGGGGGACUGACCCCCUCCGUGCCGCAGUUUACACAAUAAGUUUUUCCACCUGGGGAGUACGGCCGCAAGGGUGAAACUCAAAGGAAUUGACGGGGGCCCGCACAAGCAAUGGAUUAUGUGGUUUAAUUUGAAGCAACGCGAAGAACCUUACCAGGGCUUGACAUCCAACUUACGAGGCAGAGAUGCGUUAGGUGCCCUUCGGGGAAAGUUGAGACAGGUGCUGCAUGGUUGUUGUCAGCUCGUGCCGGGAGGUGUUGGCUUAAGUGCCAUAACGAGCGCAACCCCUACCGACAGUUGCCAUCAGGUAACGCUGGGGACUCCGUUGGGACUGCCGUUGUAAGAUGUGAGGAAAGUGGGGAUGACGUCAAAUCAGCACGGCCCUUACGUCCGGGGCUACACACGUGUUACAAUGGGGGGUACAGCAGGCAGCUACCGGGCGACCGGAUGCGAAUCCCGAAAUCCCCUUUCAGUUUGGACUAGAAUUUGCAACCCGACUCCCCGAAGCUGGAUUCGGUAGUAAUCGCGCAUCAGCCACGACGCGGUGAAUACGAAAGCGGGCCUUGCGCACGCCGCCCGUCA